UACGAAGGUCCCAAGCGUUGUUCGGAAUCACUGGGCGUAAAGGGAGCGUAGGCGGCGUGGUAAGUCAGAUGUGAAAUCCCGGGGCUCAACCCCGGAACUGCAUCCGAUACUGCCGUGCUUGAGGGUUGGAGAGGUAGCUGGAAUUAUCGGUGUAGCAGUGAAAUGCGUGGAUAUCGAUAGGAACACUCGUGGCGAAGGCGAGCUACUGGACAACAUCUGACGCUGAGGCUCGAAGGCUAGGGGAGCAAACGGG
This 253-nucleotide ribosomal RNA is filed under the name uncultured bacterium. RNAcentral describes it as "partial 16S ribosomal RNA". It matches the Rfam family "Bacterial small subunit ribosomal RNA", at positions 524 to 776 of the family's 1533-position model. The record is from RNAcentral.